Molecule: ribosomal RNA, 1301 nt
Filed under: Pseudomonas sp. DGII
Lineage: Bacteria; Pseudomonadati; Pseudomonadota; Gammaproteobacteria; Pseudomonadales; Pseudomonadaceae
Description: partial 16S ribosomal RNA
Rfam family: Bacterial small subunit ribosomal RNA
Source: RNAcentral
CAUACGUGGCGGCGGCAUACCAUGCAAGUCGAGCGGUAACGGACUAACCUGCUAGUUGCGGACAAGCCGCGGACGGGUGAGUAACACGCUGGUAAUCUGCCUGGUACUGGGGGAGAACGUCUGAAACCAGGGCAAAUACCGCAUACUCUCUUCCGGGGAGAGUAGGGGAUCUUCGGACCUUACACUAUCUUAUGAACCCGCGUCGGAUUAUGCUUGUUGGAGAGGUAAUGGCUCACCUAAGCUAUCAUCCAUAGCUGGUCUGAGAGGAUGAUUUGCCACACUGGCAGUGACACCUAGCCCAUACUCCUUCUGGAGGCAGCUUUGGGGAAUAUUGGACAAUGGGGGCAACCCUGAUCGAGCCAUGCAGCCUGUGUGAAGAAAGCCUUCCGGUUGUAAAGCACUUUCCUAUGUGAGGAAAGGUAUGUGGUUAAUACCCGCAUACUGUGACGUUAACAUCAGAAGAAGCACCGGCUAACUCCGUGCCAGCAGCCGCGGUAAUACGGAGGGUGCAAGCGUUAAUCGGAAUUACUGGGCGUAAAGCGCGCGUAGGUGGUUGGGUAAGUCAGAUGUGAAAGCCCCGGGCUCAACCUGGGAAUUGCUUCUGAUACUGCUGGACUAGAGUACAGUAGAGGGCAGUGGAAUUUCCGGUGUAGCGGGGAAAAGGGUUAAUUUCGGGAAGAACCCCAGUGGGGGAAGGGGACGUCCGGGAUUGAUACUGACACUGAGGUGCGAAAGCGUGAGUAGCAAUCAGGAUUAGAUACCCUGGUAGUUCACGCCGUAAAGGAUUUCAACUAGCCGUUGGGGGACUUGAUCCUUUAGUGGCCGCAGCUAACGCCGAUAAAGUUGACCCGCCUGGGGGAGUACGGGCCGUCAAGGUUAUAAACUCCAAAUGAAUUGAUCGGGGGCCGCGCACAACUAGGAGGAGCAUCUGGUGUAAUUUGAAGCAACGCGAAGAGCAUUACAUACUCUUGACAUCCCGAGAACUUUCCAGAGACGGAUAGGUGCCUUCGGGAAAUCUGAGACCGGUGAUGCAUGGCUGUAGUCAGCUCGUGCUGUGAAAUGUUGGGUUAAGUCCCGUAACGAGCGCAACCCCUAUCAUUAUCUGCCAGCACUUCGGGUGGGAACUAUUAGGAGACUGCCGGUGACAAACCGGAGGAAGGUGGGGAUGACGUCAAGUUAUCAUGGGCCUUACGAGCAGGGCUACACAAGGGCUACAAUGGCCGGUACAGAGGGCCGCGUACUCUCGAGGGUAAGCUAAUCUUUGAAAUCCGGUCUAGUCCGUAGUUCAGUUGAUCUGGUGA